Molecule: ribosomal RNA, 506 nt
Filed under: uncultured bacterium
Lineage: Bacteria
Description: partial 16S ribosomal RNA
Rfam family: Bacterial small subunit ribosomal RNA
Source: RNAcentral
AGUGAACGCUGGCGGUAGGCCUAACACAUGCAAGUCGAACGGCAGCACAGGAGAGCUUGCUCUCUGGGUGGCGAGUGGCGGACGGGUGAGGAAUACAUCGGAAUCUACUCUGUCGUGGGGGAUAACGUAGGGAAACUUACGCUAAUACCGCAUACGACCUACGGGUGAAAGCAGGGGACCUUCGGGCCUUGCGCGAUUGAAUGAGCCGAUGUCGGAUUAGCUAGUUGGCGGGGUAAAGGCCCACCAAGGCGACGAUCCGUAGCUGGUCUGAGAGGAUGAUCAGCCACACUGGAACUGAGGCACGGUCCAGACUCCUACGGGAGGCAGCAGUGGGGAAUAUUGGACAAUGGGCGCAAGCCUGAUCCAGCCAUACCGCGUGGGUGAAGAAGGCCUUCGGGUUGUAAAGCCCUUUUGUUGGGAAAGAAAUCCAGCUGGCUAACACCCGGUUGGGAUGACGGUACCCAAAGAAUAAGCACCGGCUAACUUCGUGCCAGCAGCCGCCGUAA